AGUUUGAUCCUGGCUCAGAAUCAACGCUGGCGGCGCGCCUAACACAUGCAAGUCGAACGAGAAAGUGGAGCAAUCCAUGAGUACAGUGGCGUACGGGUGAGUAACACGUGGGUGAUCUACCUUUUAGUGGGGAAUAACCGAGGGAAACUUUGGCUAAUACCGCAUAAUCCCGAGAGGGGAAAGUCGAAAGACGCUGAAAGAGGAGCCCGCGGCCGAUUAGCUAGUUGGUGGGGUAAGAGCCCACCAAGGCAGAGAUCGGUAGCCGGCCUGAGAGGGCACACGGCCACACUGGCACUGAAACACGGGCCAGACUCCUACGGGAGGCAGCAGUGGGGAAUCUUGCACAAUGGGGGAAACCCUGAUGCAGCGACGCCGCGUGAGCGAUGAAGCCCUUCGGGGUGUAAAGCUCUUCCGUCAGGGAAGAUGAUGACGGUACCUGGAGAAGCAGCUGCGGCUAACUACGUGCCAGCAGCCGCGGUAAUACGUAGGCAGCAAGCGUUGUUCGGAGUUACUGAGCGUAAAGGGUGCGUAGGCGGCUUGGUGGGUCUGGUGUGAAAGCCCCGGGCUCAGCCCGGGAAGGGCACUAGAAACUGCC
RNAcentral lists this ribosomal RNA (595 nucleotides) under uncultured Candidatus Solibacter sp. Its description in RNAcentral is "bacterial SSU rRNA". It matches the Rfam family "Bacterial small subunit ribosomal RNA", at positions 10 to 637 of the family's 1533-position model. Lineage: Bacteria; Pseudomonadati; Acidobacteriota; Terriglobia; Bryobacterales; Solibacteraceae. The record is from RNAcentral.